This 703-nucleotide ribosomal RNA is filed under the name uncultured bacterium. Its description in RNAcentral is "bacterial SSU rRNA". It matches the Rfam family "Bacterial small subunit ribosomal RNA", at positions 28 to 749 of the family's 1533-position model. The record is from RNAcentral.
AACGAACGUUGGCGGCGUGGAUUAGGCAUGCAAGUCGAGCGAAUCCCCGCAAGGGGGGAAGCGGCGAAAGGGGCAGUAAGGCAUGGGUAACCUACCCUGGGGACUGGGAUAGCCCUUCGAGAGAAGGGGUAAUACCGGGCGAUGUGCCGGGCCGGCAUCGGUCAGUCACCAAAUGAGUUUCGCCCUGGGGGGGGCCCAUGUGAUAUUAGCUAGUUGGUGAGGUAACGGCUCGCCAAGGCGAAGAUGUCUAGCGGGUGUGAGAGCACGACCCGCGCCACUGGCACUGAGACACUGGCCAGACACCUACGGGUGGCUGCAGUCGAGGAUCUUCGGCAAUGGGCGCAAGCCUGACCGAGCGACGCCGCGUGUGCGAUGAAGGCCUUCGGGUUGUAAAGCACUGUCGAGAGGGAGAAAAGCGAAAGCUUGAUCUAUCUCUGGAGGAAGCACGGGCUAAGUUCGUGCCAGCAGCCGCGGUAAGACGAACCGUGCGAACGUUGUUCGGAAUCACUGGGCUUAAAGGGCGCGUAGGCGGGUCUUCAAGUUUGGGGUGAAAUCCUCCGGCUCAACCGGAGAACUGCCUCGAAUACUGAAGGUCUCGAGGGGGAUAGGGGCAUGCGGAACUACGGGUGGAGCGGUGAAAUGCGUUGAUAUCCGUAGGAACUCCGGUGGCGAAUGCGGCGUGCUGGAUCCCUUCUGACGCUGA